CUUAACACAUGCAAGUCGAGCGAUGAAGUUCCUUCGGGAAACGGAUUAGCGGCGGACGGGUGAGUAACACGUGGGUAACCUGCCUCAUAGAGUGGAAUAGCCUUCCGAGAGGAAGAUUAAUACCGCAUAACGUUGAAAGAUGGCAUCAUCAUUCAACCAAAGGAGCAAUCCGCUAUGAGAUGGACCCGCGGCGCAUUAGCUAGUUGGUAGGGUAACGGCCUACCAAGGCGACGAUGCGUAGCCGACCUGAGAGGGUGAUCGGCCACAUUGGGACUGAGACACGGCCCAGACUCCUACGGGAGGCAGCAGUGGGGAGUAUUGCACAAUGGGGGAAACCCUGAUGCAGCAACGCCGCGUGAGUGAUGAAGGUUUUCGGGUCGUAAAGCUCUGUCUUUGGGGAAGAUAAUGACGGUACCCAAGGAGGAAGCCACGGCUAACUACGUGCCAGCAGCCGCGGUAAUACGUAGGUGGCGAGCGUUAUCCGGAUUUACUGGGCGUAAAGGGAGCGUAGGCGGAUGAUUAAGUGGGAUGUGAAAUACCCGGGCUCAACUUGGGUGCUGCAUUCCAAACUGGUUAUCUAGAGUGCAG
This 588-nucleotide ribosomal RNA is filed under the name uncultured Clostridium sp. RNAcentral's name for it is "bacterial SSU rRNA". It matches the Rfam family "Bacterial small subunit ribosomal RNA", at positions 47 to 651 of the family's 1533-position model. The record is from RNAcentral. Lineage: Bacteria; Bacillati; Bacillota; Clostridia; Eubacteriales; Clostridiaceae.